Molecule: transfer RNA, 62 nt
Filed under: Eophreatoicus karrkkanj
Lineage: Eukaryota; Metazoa; Arthropoda; Malacostraca; Isopoda; Amphisopidae
Description: tRNA-Ala
Rfam family: tRNA
About the family: Transfer RNA (tRNA) molecules are approximately 80 nucleotides in length. Their secondary structure includes four short double-helical elements and three loops (D, anti-codon, and T loops).
Source: RNAcentral
AAAACUAUAGUUUAAUGAAAAUAUUAAAUUUGCAUUUUAAAGAUACAAGUGUGUUAGUUUUA